CCUACGGGAGGCAGCAGUGAGGAAUAUUGGUCAAUGGGCGCGAGCCUGAACCAGCCAAGUCGCGUGAGGGAAGACGGUCCUCUGGAUUGUAAACCCCUUCUGUCGGGGAGCAAAAGACGCUACGCGUGGCGUUCUGAGAGUACCCGAAGAAAAAGCAUCGGCAAACACCGUGCCAGCAGCCGCGGUAAUACGGGGGAUGCGAGCGUUAUCCGGAUUUAUAGGGGUAAAAGGGUGCGAAGGCGGAAGAUCAAGUCAGCGGGAAAAUUGAGGGGCUAAACCUCGACGAGCCGUUGAAACUGGUUAGCUUGAGUGAGGGAGAGGUAUGCGGAAUGCGUGGUGUAGCGGUGAAAUGCGUAGAUAUGACGAAGAACUCCGAUGGCGAAGGCAGCAUACCGGCGAUCAACUGACGCUCAGGCACGAAAGUGUGGGUAUCGAACAGGAUUAGAUACCCUUGUAGUC
This 459-nucleotide ribosomal RNA is filed under the name uncultured bacterium. RNAcentral describes it as "partial 16S ribosomal RNA". It matches the Rfam family "Bacterial small subunit ribosomal RNA", at positions 338 to 795 of the family's 1533-position model. The record is from RNAcentral.